This 1615-nucleotide long non-coding RNA is filed under the name Gallus gallus (chicken). RNAcentral describes it as "lncRNA (ENSGALG00010014043.1)". Lineage: Eukaryota; Metazoa; Chordata; Aves; Galliformes; Phasianidae. The record is from RNAcentral.
CACAGGUGGCCCCCGCAGCGGGGCUGUGACAGGGCCCGUGCUGCCCGCAUGAAAGGCUCUGGAAAGCGUUCUGUAGAGCUUGUCCUGCCCCUGAGCGCUGUCGGUGCUCAGCGCAGCGGCAGAGCGAACUAGAACUCUUCGCUUUCGUUAUCAUUGUCUUUAUUAUUAUGAUUCCCCCUCUUUGCUAUAUUCAGGCCUUUUGUUCUCACCCAGGUAAGGGCUAGGGCGUGAUGGCUAACUCUUUGGAGCUGGCGCUGUAAGAAUAAUAGGUCUACCUAGAAAACAUGCAGGAGUGAUAUCAAGUGGUGACCCAAGAGAUGAAGAUGGAGGCAGUUUCAGUGUAGCACUGUGGCAAGUCCCAGCAAGCUCAAUGCAACGCCAAGAUUAGUCGUGUUUCAGAGUUUGGGUUUGGAAAAAAAAAAACAGGAAAAAAAAAACUUCAAAAUAUCAUCUCAAUUAAAAUAUAUGUAUACAUGUAUUUCCAUUAAAUGCUUCCACAUUCAUAUAAGGUAAACUUGCCUCUUUGAUGACUAAAUUAUUUUAGGAAGAAAAUAUGUUCUGAUUGUCAUCUUCAGGGCAUUUUCAGUGACGUUUUAUGGCAGUCGUUUAAAAUAAAAUUCUUAGUCAUUCAGCAUUUUAACUGAAAGCUACGUGUUAUGCAAGCAGUUUGUCAAACCCAUUGAGCUACCUGCCUAGUAGUAACGCAGCAAUAAAUAAUGAUAGCAUUUAAGGCUGUUUUCAUCAUUAGUGCUGUCAGAUCUGAUUGAAAUAUUAUGAAUGUUAAGGUUAAAUAUAUGAAGGCAAUAAAUAUUGAUAUGAAGCGUGCUCAAGAGAGUUGUGUUUCCCAAGUGGAUCUGGGGGCAGACUUGUUAUGAUGAUGGCUACUGCCAGCUCAUUGCAUGGCAACAGUUGGAGGGUGGUGUUUGCAGAGCUGGGAGCCAGACAGGAGAUUCUGUGCUGUGGUGGAGUUGAACACAUGCAAUAGAAGAGACACCCUCUGAGCCAGGACCUCCCUCAGCACCCACCAGCUGAAGAUAACUGGGGGAAAGUGAAAGCUAUAUUGUGCUUUGCUAUCUUUGUGUUCACUUGAAUGCGUGCCCUCACUUCUUCUGUCUGAACCACUUGAACCCAUCAGUCACUGAGGGCGUGCAGGAGUGGAUCAUGCCACCAUGUGGUGCUUUAUCAAGGACCAGAUCUAUGGCCCAAGCAUCGCCAGGUCAGUUAUCCUUCAGCUUCCAGAAGGUUUUAUAGUACCUCAGCAAUAAGAAGAGCUUGUUCCUGUUCACCAUCAUUAUUUCAGUCAAGGCAGAGGCAGCUUUUGAACCCUGCAAUGUUCAUCUCUGGGUGGUUUGGGAUUGUUUUCUUGUUUUUUGAUUUUAUACCUCCCUGGCUGUGAAUGAAACCUCUUCAUCCCGGUUCAAAGCAUCCUCAUCACAAAAGGCCUAUCUGGUUGACCUUUGGACUGUAGAUGAUGCAGACGAGAGUGGAAAAUGGAGAUUAGCGUUCAGCAGUGCUUAGCCAGUUCCUCAUGUUCUUCCCUGUAACAAGAACCCCGAGUUCAGCAGAUGGACUUUCUACAUAGUGUAAUAGGAGAGAGAAGUACCAAAAAAAGGCA